Molecule: non-coding RNA, 815 nt
Filed under: Orthognathotermes aduncus
Lineage: Eukaryota; Metazoa; Arthropoda; Insecta; Blattodea; Termitidae
Source: RNAcentral
AAGAAGUUUGAUUCUUGCUUUUUCGUUCAGUUUUUGUUUGCUCUAUAUGUAAGUUUUUGCGUGAUUUAUUGGUUGUGUCCUAUGAUGGGCUAUCAUUGUGUUGGAUGAUAUUAAUUCUCAUUAGUUGUUAUUGUUUAUCAAGUGUUCUUGUAAUCAGCAAUGCAUUUUAGUUUCGGUUAAAUUUUGUGCCAGCAGCCGCGGUUAUACCUUGGAGGCGUUUGAAUGUGUUUGGCGUUAGGUAGUUUUAUUGAUCCAUUUAUUGUGAAUUAUAUAUUGGUUAUUGUUAGGUGAAAUUUUUUUGUUGUUGUUAGGUUUAUUAUCUGUUUGGAAGCUAUGAAAUUCUUUUUGUAGACUAGGAUUAGAUACCCUAUUAUUUUAGAAUGUAAAUUGUUUUGCCUGAGUAGUAUUAGUUAUGUUCUUGAAACUUAAAGAAUUUGGCGGUAUCUCAUUCCGUCUAGAGGAAUCUGUCUCGUUAUCGAUAGUCCACGUUGGACCUUACUUAGUUUAAAAUUGGUUUGUAUACCGCCGUUUAUUGAUUAUCUUUUUAGGGUUUGUAAUUUUCUGGUUUCUUUAUUUUGAUUUAUUUCAGGUCAAGGUGCAGCUUGUUUCUAAGUGGAAUGAUGGAUUACAUUGUUAUUUGUUUUGGAUUAUUUAUUUUAAUAUGAAUAUGAAAUUGGAUUUGGUUGUAAUUAUUUUUAGAAUGUUAUUGUGAUAUUGGUUCUGAGAUAUGCACACAUCGCCCGUCGCUCUCGUUUAUUUGUUGAUGAGAUAAGUCGUAACAAAGUGGUUGUACCGGAAGGUGUAGCUGGAUUGUU